This 176-nucleotide ribosomal RNA is filed under the name uncultured bacterium. Its description in RNAcentral is "partial 16S ribosomal RNA". It matches the Rfam family "Bacterial small subunit ribosomal RNA", at positions 338 to 527 of the family's 1533-position model. The record is from RNAcentral.
AUUACGGGAGGCAGCAGUGGGGAAUAUUGGACAAUGGACCAAAAGUCUGAUCCAGCAAUUCUGUGUGCACGAUGAAGGUCUUCGGAUUGUAAAGUGCUUUCAGUUGGGAAGAAGCAAGUGACGGUACCAACAGAAGAAGCGACGGCUAAAUACGUGCCAGCAGCCGCGGUAAUAAU